GGGUUUCUCUCGCUUUUGGCAUAGCGGGCCCCCAGCGGGGGGCUAUUGAUUCUCUCCCAAUUGGUUGGACCGUAGGU
Molecule: transfer RNA, 77 nt
Filed under: Gynostemma pentaphyllum
Lineage: Eukaryota; Viridiplantae; Streptophyta; Magnoliopsida; Cucurbitales; Cucurbitaceae
Also listed under: 1 other name
Description: tRNA-Ile
Source: RNAcentral